CAGCAGCCACGGGAAUACGGAGGGAGCUAGCGUUGUUCGGAAUUACUGGGCGUAAAGCGCACGUAGGCGGUUAUUCAAGUCAGAGGUGAAAGCCCGGGGCUCAACCCCGGAACUGCCUUUGAAACUAGAUGACUAGAAUCUUGGAGAGGUCAGUGGAAUUCCGAGUGUAGAGGUGAAAUUCGUAGAUGUUCGGAAGAACACCAGUGGCGAAGGCGACUGACUGGACAAGUAUUGACGCUGAGGUGCGAAAGCGUGGGGAGCAAACAGGAUUAGAUACCCGGGUAGUCCCUGUCUCUUAUAC
This 301-nucleotide ribosomal RNA is filed under the name uncultured bacterium. RNAcentral's name for it is "partial 16S ribosomal RNA". It matches the Rfam family "Bacterial small subunit ribosomal RNA", at positions 509 to 807 of the family's 1533-position model. The record is from RNAcentral.